AGCUAUGGGUUAAGAGUCAAGAGGGCAUGGCCCUGAGAGCUGCCCCAUUGGAGCUAAAAGCAGCCCAGAUGAAGCAUAAGCCUGGCUGUGAUUUCCAUUCAGGAAGAGCUUGAUGACAAGGCCCAGGUCCCAACCUGCUGUCUCUCAGAGGUUCCUGUGUUCUGAUUCCUUGGCAACUAGAGAUUCCUGCAACAUUUCUGGAAGCCCCAGUGAGAUCUCCUUCUCCAUGGCCCCAUGGUAGAGACGGGCUGCUGCUCCCUGGUCUCUGAGAACACUAAAGUCUUCUGGAACUGAGAAGCACAAGGGGACUGCGGGACCAAGACCUGGAGUCUCUGGGAAACAUACAUCCUAAACAGGACUUCAGGGUCCUCUCCCAGUGGACAAGGGGACUGCGGGACCAAGACCUGGAGUCUCUGGGAAGCACACAUCCUAAACAGGACUUCAGGGUCCUCUCCCAGUGGACAAGGGGACUGCGGGACCAAGACCUGGAGUCUCUGGGAAGCACACAUCCUAAACAGGACUUCGGGGUCCUCUCCCAGUGGACAAGGGGACUGUGGGACCAAGACCUGGAGUCUCUGAGCGGAAGACCAGAUGAGACUGGGCUGGAUGUCCAGGCCAGGUAAAGACAAAAAAGGGAGAUAGGCAGGAAGAGCCAGCAAUGGCUAGAUCGCCUUGCAGGAUAUUAUAUCUGGAGCCUUGAAGGGAUACUCAGGUAGCACCGGUCCCCAAGGAAAAGGCCUUGAUGAGAUACUCAGGUGGAUUAGUCUUGGAAGAAAUAGACAGACUAAGCAUUUAAAAGGGGGAUGUAUAACUUCUAAGUGAAUGGUGAAUGACUGUGUAGGUGACUGUAAUGCUCCCGCAGCUCCGUGGCUACAGAAUUUGAUUGGGCCUCAACCUCAGAUCGGCUGAAGCCCUUUCAAAUGAACAGGCACUCCCACUCACAAUAGGAGGUGACCAAGUACAAGGUUAUACAUGUGGCUCUAAGGAAAGACCUCUGAAAUUGCCACAUGGUGUCUGGCCAGGCAGAUGCCUGCUUGAGGGAGAAGCUGGUCUCCACCUCACCCUAUUACUACACAGGGUUAGGCACACAUAAACUCCCCCAGUUUCCAGAUAGGGAAUUUUUCUCACCAUGGGAUUUGUAAAAUCCUGAUGUGAAACUCACACAAUCCUGCAAAGACCUUUGUGAUGGUUUGUAUAUCCUUGGACCAGGGAGUGGCACCAUCUGAAGGUGUGGCCUUGUUGGAAUAGGUGUGACCUGGUUGGAAUGGGUGUGUCACUGUGGGUGUGGGUAUAAGAUCCUCACCCUAGUUGCCUGGAAGUCAGUCUUCCACUAGCAGCCUUUGGAUGAAAACAUAGAACUCUCAGCUCCUCCUGCGCCAUGCCUGCCUGGAUGCUGCCAUGCUCCCACCUUGAUGAUAAUGGACUGAACCUCUGAACCUGUAAGCCAGCCCCAAUUAAAUGUUGUUUUUUAUAA
This 1474-nucleotide long non-coding RNA is filed under the name Mus musculus (house mouse). Its description in RNAcentral is "predicted gene, 33027". The record is from RNAcentral. Lineage: Eukaryota; Metazoa; Chordata; Mammalia; Rodentia; Muridae.